ACGUAGGUCCCAAGCGUUAUCCGGAUUUACUGGGCGUAAAGUGUCCGUAGCCGGAUAUACAAGUCUGUUUUCAAAUAUCCUGGCUCAACCAGGAAAAGGGAAUAGAUACUGUAUAUCUAGAGAAUAUUGGAGGUUAGUGGAAUUUCCGGUGGAGCGGUGAAAUGCGUUGAUAUCGGAAAGAACGCCGAAAGCGAAAGCAGCUAACUAUGAUAUUUCUGACGGUGAUGGACGAAAGCUUGAGUAGCAAACGG
Molecule: ribosomal RNA, 251 nt
Filed under: uncultured prokaryote
Description: partial 16S rRNA
Rfam family: Bacterial small subunit ribosomal RNA
Source: RNAcentral